GUCCACGCCGUAACGAUGAUUACUAACUGUAGGCGAUACACAGCCUGUGGUUGAGGGAACCAUUAAGUAAUCCACCUGGGGAGUACGCUCGCAAGAGUGAACUCAAGGAAUUGACGGGCCCGCACAAGCGGAGGAACAUGUGGUUUAAUUCGAUGAUACGCGAGGAACCUUACCUAGGCUUAAAUGGGGAGUGACAGCCGCCGAAAGGUGGUCUUCUUCGGACACUCUUCAAGGUGCUGCAUGGUUGUCGU
This 251-nucleotide ribosomal RNA is filed under the name uncultured bacterium. Its description in RNAcentral is "partial 16S ribosomal RNA". It matches the Rfam family "Bacterial small subunit ribosomal RNA", at positions 793 to 1055 of the family's 1533-position model. The record is from RNAcentral.